GCUUUGCUUGUGUAAACCGAGUCCCCUCGACAAAAAGAGCGAGCCAAAAGGGCUGGGGGAAGUCCUCUAACCGUUUAAGACCUGACUUCAAAGUUUUUUCAUCUUUGGCCCAGCUUCUUUCCAAAAAGAGAUAUUCUGUAAACCACAUUGACCAACCAAUGACUGGGAGAAAUUUCGACGACUUCUUCAUGACUGCUAACGUGCUACCAAGGCAACCGGAGCGCUGAGCUAAAAUCCACCCGACAAGCCAAUCAAUGUCGCUUCUGUGGUUACAAAUGACAAGAGCAUGCUCUUUACCCAUUGCCUGAAAAGUUUCAGUAUCUGCAUAUACUCGAAUCUUAACACCGGCCCACCAA
Molecule: unclassified non-coding RNA, 356 nt
Filed under: Hevea brasiliensis (rubber tree)
Lineage: Eukaryota; Viridiplantae; Streptophyta; Magnoliopsida; Malpighiales; Euphorbiaceae
Source: RNAcentral